RNAcentral lists this unclassified non-coding RNA (238 nucleotides) under uncultured Helotiales. Its description in RNAcentral is "sequence contains 5.8S rRNA gene". The stretch from base 1 to 53 matches the Rfam family "5.8S ribosomal RNA", at positions 102 to 154 of the family's 154-position model. The record is from RNAcentral. Lineage: Eukaryota; Fungi; Ascomycota; Leotiomycetes; Helotiales.
GAACGCACAUUGCGCCCCUCGGUAUUCCGGGGGGCAUGCCUGUUCGAGCGUCAUUAUAACCCUCAAGCCUAGCUUGGUGUUGGAGCAUGCUACCUAGCAGCUCUUAAAAUCAGUGGCAGUGCCCUUCGGCUCUAAGCGUAGUAACUCUUCUCGCUAUAGAAAUCGGAUGGUACGCGCCAGAACCCCUAACUUUCUAUGGUUGACCUCGGAUCAGGUAGGGAUACCCGCUGAACUUAAG